AAAUUACUAAUGUCUCAUUUUCUCAGCGUUCUCAUCCCUGAUUUCCAUGUAUCUGUGAGCAGGGGUCAAGAAAGAAGAUCUUCAUGCUUGGUGUAAGGAUGCAUCAUCUCCAGCCUCAAUGUACACCAUCGUGUGAAAGGACCCAUCAACAGCUGUAGAAUCUCUGCUGAGUCCUGGCUGCUCCUUUCAGGCAGCCUUCCUGGAGAGCACUGAAUCCAGCUCCUGCCAGAAGGCUAUAACAUGGGGUCCAUACUUUGUCUCCAGUAAAACUUGGAAUGCUGCCCAAUCCAAACAGGGCUAGGGGGCCAUUUGCAGAAGAAUUGAUUUCAGGGAUUAGGCCAGUGGAAUUUGUCCCAUGAAGUCUGUAUUUUGUAGUCACAGCCUGGUUGGAGGAAGUUAGAUUUUUUUUCUUUCUUCAUUGUUAGAAGAUUAUGGAAUCAUCAUCAUGAGUUGUUCUGCUCACAAAGAUUGGUAGGUGUGGGAUCUCCAAGGUAUUGUCUAGACCCUUUGUAUUUCUUUUUCCUUUUUUUUUUUUUUUGGUACCGGGGAUCGAACUUGGUGCCUUGCACUUGCAAAGUAAGCAACAGAACCACUGAGCUAAAUCCCCGGCCUCGUAGACCCUUUGUAAUAGGGCCACGUUUGAGAUGACAGCUAUCUAAUAUUCAGGAAGUAGCUUUUACCUAUGGUCCUGGAUCCUUAUUGAUGCUGUUCUGGGUUAAUUAAAAGAGGCCCAUAUUUCUACUCUAGCUCAGAUACAAAUAGAACCUGCAUAGGGGCAGGAGGUUUUAUGACCAGAUAUACAAGAGUGGCACAGACAAGUGGGACCGUCAAGAGAAAGGACAAAAGAAAUAAAACCAUGAGGCAAGCUUGCCACAAAAUGUGAUGUCUAAUGACAAGGGCCUCUUUUUCACUGGAGGAAGUUAAACAAAUGAGAGGUAAGGACCUUUGGGAAGAGUGACAAUUCACUGAUGACAGAGAUCAAGAAGAAUGACUAUCCCAUCUCAUCCUGGGAAGGUAAGCAGAAUAAGGGGUAGAAUAAUGGCUCUCAAGCUGGCUCAGCAAGUUACCUGGACAAUUUUAUAAGCAGGAAAACUAAUCUAGGCCACAAUUUCUGAUUUAAGCCUGCAGAGCCAAAUGUAUUUAAAACGUUUUCAGCUCCACCCCAUGUGAGAAAGCAGACCUAGAGUGGCACCCCUCUCCCCAGUGUGAGAGAGCAGACCUGUGAUGGAGGAGUGCUGCCUCGCACCCAGGGGAGCACAGCACAGGGCAGUGGAGGCAAUGACUAACCAACCGACCCAAUCCUGGACUCCUGGAUGAAGACAACACCUGGGGAGAGAAGGGAGCAACCAGACCCCAUGACUGUUGACAUUAAGUCCAACAGCCCACUUGAACCUCUGCCUUACAGCCUACAUCCAGCAGAGAACAGAGGGCUGAUCUCAUUCCCCAUUCCUGGUAGAAACAAGGACAUGCUUGGCUUUAACCAUAACCACAAGUCUGGGGGGAAUGAACAGAGGGGCCUCUAGUGCAAGGAAG
RNAcentral lists this long non-coding RNA (1533 nucleotides) under Heterocephalus glaber (naked mole-rat). Its description in RNAcentral is "lncRNA (ENSHGLG00100044601.1)". Lineage: Eukaryota; Metazoa; Chordata; Mammalia; Rodentia; Bathyergidae. The record is from RNAcentral.